UGAGAGGGAGUCUCGCUCUGUAGCCCAGGCUGGAGUGCAGUGGCGCGGUCUCGGCUCACUGCAAGCUCCGCCUCCAGGGUUCACGCCAUUCUCCUGCCUCAGCCCCCCAAAUACCUGGGACUACAGGCGCCCGCCACCACGCCCAGCUAAAUUUUUCGUAUUUUUAGUAGAGACGGGGUUUCACCGCGUUAGCCAGGAUGGUCUCGAUCUCCUGACCUCAUGAUCUGC
RNAcentral lists this long non-coding RNA (228 nucleotides) under Homo sapiens (human). Its description in RNAcentral is "HSALNT0393499". The record is from RNAcentral. Lineage: Eukaryota; Metazoa; Chordata; Mammalia; Primates; Hominidae.